Molecule: ribosomal RNA, 776 nt
Filed under: uncultured Neocallimastigales
Lineage: Eukaryota; Fungi; Neocallimastigomycota; Neocallimastigomycetes; Neocallimastigales
Description: partial large subunit ribosomal RNA
Rfam family: Eukaryotic large subunit ribosomal RNA
Source: RNAcentral
GAGACUCUGUGCGCGUGCAUAUCAAUAAGCGGAGGAAAAGAAACUAACAAGGAUUCCCUUAGUAACGGCGAGUGAAGCGGGAAGAGCUCAAAUUUGAAAUCUUCAAGGUUCUACCUUGACGAAUUGUAGUUUAUAGAAGUGUUUUCUGUUAGUAGAGUGGCAAAAGUUCUUUGGAAUAGGACAUCAUAGAGGGUGAGAAUCCCGUAUUUGGUCAUUCUUCCUAGCUUUGUGAUACACUUUCAACGAGUCGGAUUGUUUGGGAAUGCAGUCCAAAAUGGGUGGUAAAUUUCAUCUAAAGCUAAAUAUUGGCGAGAGACCGAUAGCGAACAAGUACCGUGAGGGAAAGAUGAAAAGAACUUUGAAAAGAGAGUUAAACAGUACGUGAAAUUGUCAAAAGGGAAGCGUUCGACACCAGUGUUGUUUUUCCGAAAAUCAAUUACGAAUGUUUUGUUUUUGAGGAGUUAUGACUUCAUCGGCUUGCUCCUUUCUUUAUGAAACUUUCUUAAUGCACUUUUCGGUUAACAAGUCAACAUCAAUUUCUUUUGUUGUAAAAGGGUAUGAGGAAGGUGGCUUUCUUUUCGGAGAAAGUGUUUAUAGCCUUGUGCCUCUGCAAUCGGAGAGAUUGAGGUCUGCAGCGUAGAUUCCUUCGGGGUUAGAUACAUUUGUGCUAAGUUAUAGCUUUUCAUAGACAACUUGUUGACUAUGUUUAGUCUUGUAGCUUACUCGCUUACUGCUAUUUUACCUACGCUUAGGAUGUUGACAGCAGUAUAGACUGU